Molecule: transfer RNA, 91 nt
Filed under: Actinoplanes aureus
Lineage: Bacteria; Bacillati; Actinomycetota; Actinomycetes; Micromonosporales; Micromonosporaceae
Rfam family: tRNA
About the family: Transfer RNA (tRNA) molecules are approximately 80 nucleotides in length. Their secondary structure includes four short double-helical elements and three loops (D, anti-codon, and T loops).
Source: Rfam by way of RNAcentral
GGAGAGCUGGCCGAGCGGCCUAAGGCGGCGGAUUGCUAAUCCGCAGCAGUGGCGUAUGCCGCUGCCGAGAGUUCGAAUCUCUCGCUCUCCG